Molecule: long non-coding RNA, 484 nt
Filed under: Zonotrichia albicollis (white-throated sparrow)
Lineage: Eukaryota; Metazoa; Chordata; Aves; Passeriformes; Passerellidae
Description: lncRNA (ENSZALG00000000442.1)
Source: RNAcentral
AAUGGAAAACUGUCAGGAAAGGGAAAGGAUUCUCAUUUCUUGAUUAAAAAAAAUAAUAGAAAAAGACAAAGAUAUUCAGAUCCAUUGUUCUCCUCUUCUCAGUGAUUCUCAGGUGACAGCAGAAAGUGAAGAUCCCUGAACCGGCAUUUCACAAUAGCAGUGCUCAGACAAGACUAAGCUCUAUGUGACCAAAAGGCAGCGGCACAGAGUCCAGAGGGCCUUCAUCCCUGAAGCUGAAUGCUGUGGUUCAGCAUGAAAUGAUUGCUGCACUGGAUUUCAGAACUGCAGAUCUUCUGCUUUCCCCAUGCCCUGUCACAUUAAACCAUUUAUGCACAAAGUAAGCAGUUUGGGUUUGCCCUUGUGACUUUACUGGAACCAGUUGCUUAUUCUUAUCACAAUUCUGCCAGCAAGCGCUUCAGCAAAAGGAAUUGCAAACUACCCACUGCAGCCACUGCAUUUCAGUGCAGUUACAAGUGAAAUCACA